UAUUUAAGAAAUAUAGGCCUACUCAAAGCCCAAAUCAUUGAUAUCAUACCCUAUCCAAUAAUAAAGAAAUUUGAAUUUGAAUGGUAACAAUUCCGUUAAAUCCUCGUCCUCGUUUUGAACGUCUCACUCAUGGCAGAUCAGUGUGUUCUUUCUGAUUAGCUCUUAAUUGAGAUCACCUGUCACGCACCCCUUUAUUAAAGGUGAAAACAAUGGGUUUGGUUUACUUUUCGCAUCGGCCUCUGUCAAUCGAGGUUGAGUUUAGUGAGGGUUGAAAGUUUUCGAUCUAGAUUGCAGAUCACUAUUGUCACUUUAUACAAACUGUAAGUAUGCAUUGUUGCGUGUUUGUUUUUGUGGGCAUUUGACUGAACAGCCCAGACAAAUAUUGCUACCAACAUGGCACUUCGAAACAGACCACCGCAGUGUUAGAUGACUGACAAGAUCUAUGGGGGGGCCCCCUUUGGGCCCCCCCAUACCAACUUAGUCUUCAAAGGAAUCUAGUGCCAUGGGACUCCAGUGUCUUCAAAUCAUCCUCGGAAUACAUGUGUAUGAAUGGUCCACCGAAGGGUUGAUCUGGAAGCCACCACGGUCCACGCAGUAAUCUGCUGCGUGGGCCGUAGUGGCUUCCAGAGCCAUCUUUCGGUCUUGGUCAGGAUUUGUUACAGUUGCCCUUCAAUGUAGCAGGCUACGGGUUUCUGAAGAAGCCUGCUUUACGUAGCAUUGGAGUACAAAUAUUGUGCAAAAUGCUCAUGUAAUUGCACUAGCACUAGUAACCUGUAGAUUAGCUUAGUUUAACGUCAUUCCGUGCUGUCUCUGUCAAAUGUGUGGCUUACUUUAAGUCCACAAGGCCCUCUGGUAAACCACGUUGGAACACCCCUGGACAAGGUGAUUAGUCACUGGGUGUGUGCUAAAGUUUUGUUCCAUUUUUCACUAGUUGGUUAAGGUUUGGUAGAAUUGUUUGGAUGCUAGCGACGUGAUGGCGUAUGUACAAGAGCCUACCGUGGCCAGGCCACAGUUGCGACGGCCACGGCCAGAUGGCCUAGUGUGAGUGCAACCUUGAUUGCAUUUGUAUACUGUUUACCAUUGGAUGUUUAUGCAAUUUGGCUUAAUUCAUCCGCAGUAAAGCUGCAUUUGAAUAUUCCAGGGUCGUUUUGUACAGGCUUUCAAUUGACCAUGUUGACUAGUUUGUGGGAAUUAUUAUUUAUUUUUUUACCUUUGCUUUCAAUCCAACGGUUGUGACCACUUAUGCAACUGGGCUGUGAACCUUGCAAUUCUAGUUGCAUAUUUGUACACGCAAGCUUGUCCAUUUCUAUCGCCAUCACUAACACUAGGUUCAGCAUUUCCUUGUAGGCCAUUAGCUGACUUGUGUAUUGGAGCGAUGAUUUGGGUAUUUUAAGAUGCUUGAAAACCUAAAAUAAAGCAAAAUGCGUGUCUGGUGUGCAAGAGCCAAUUUGUUGGCUUGCAGUAGUCGAGGAGUUGCCGUAGGUCGUAAGCCAUCUGGAGGUUGUGGCAAUGGAGGCUUGUGGUAGAUCUGCCAUCCAAGAAAGGUUAAUUCUUCUGAAGCAUGAUUAAUAGUUUAGUAAAUUGAAUCUAUUCAUAUAGAACUAUAAAAUCCAAGACUGCAGCCAGUAACUUGGAUCGCAAUAUGUGGAAAGUAUUAGUGUUAAAAUAAUUAACAUGACUAACUGGGUUUCUUCCAUUUUCUAACUAGGGGGACUUGACUGGUGAGUCUACUGGAUAAUCAGUAGCGGUACUUUGCCCAACAGAUUUGAUGGCAUGACUACAGGGUGACAAAGACAAUUAUUCCCUGCCUAUCAAAAGAGACUUCUAAAACAUAUCUGCUAGAACGGUUCCUAUACUUUUUGUAUAAUUUGGUCAUGCUGCAAAUUUACUUUUUGUAGUUGCUCCAUAUUUAGUUCUUUGACAGCCUCACCUGCUAGAAAAGUCUAUUCAAAUCGGCUAAAUAUAAUGAACUAAAUUAAUAGCCAUGAAAUGUUGUCACUCAUACUAAUGGCAAAUACCCUCUUUCAGUUGGUGGUUCAACACUGAUGUCUCUCUAGGCUUGAGGGAGAGCUCACAAGUAAAUUACACAAAUGUCCUGGAGCAAUUGGGAAUACACUUUUAUUUAGUCUACCUGACCAGGGACAUCUUUGAACUAUAGGUCACCUAACCCAAACUUUUCACUCUUGUUAGGUUGUCCUUUUCUCUUGUUUCAACCCGAAAGGGCUGAAAUAUCAACAUUUCAGGUAUUCUGUUUGGAUAAUGUGCAAAACUUGUGGCUUCACUAAUAAAAAAAAUUAACAAAUG
This is a long non-coding RNA of Gadus macrocephalus (Pacific cod), 2304 nucleotides long. RefSeq lists it as uncharacterized. NCBI's taxonomy places the organism in Eukaryota, Metazoa, Chordata, Actinopteri, Gadiformes, Gadidae. The transcript has 2 exons. The record is from RefSeq and is a predicted model, not a curated record.